GCUCAGUGGUAGAGUGCUUGCCUUGCACGCAUGAGGCUUUGGGUUCGAUUCCUCA
Molecule: transfer RNA, 55 nt
Filed under: Dipodomys ordii (Ord's kangaroo rat)
Lineage: Eukaryota; Metazoa; Chordata; Mammalia; Rodentia; Heteromyidae
Rfam family: tRNA
About the family: Transfer RNA (tRNA) molecules are approximately 80 nucleotides in length. Their secondary structure includes four short double-helical elements and three loops (D, anti-codon, and T loops).
Source: Rfam by way of RNAcentral